GAUGAAGAACGUAGCGAAAUGCGAUAAGUAAUGUGAAUUGCAGAAUUCAGUGAAUCAUCGAAUCUUUGAACGCACAUUGCGCCCGCCAGUAUUCUGGCGGGCAUGCCUGUUCGCGCGUCAUUACAACCCUCAGGCCCCCGGGCCUGGCGUUGGGGAUCGGCGGAAGCCCCCUGCGGGCACAACGCCGUCCCCCAAAUACAGUGGCGGUCCCGCCGUAGCUUCCAUUGCGUAGUAGCUAACACCUCGCAACUGGAGAGCGGCGCGGCCACGCCGUAAAACACCCAACUUCUGAAUGUUGACCUCGAAUCAGGUAGGAAUACCCGCUGAACUUAAGCAUAUCAAUAAGCGGAGGA
Molecule: unclassified non-coding RNA, 353 nt
Filed under: soil metagenome
Description: partial contains 5.8S ribosomal RNA, internal transcribed spacer 2, and large subunit ribosomal RNA
Rfam family: 5.8S ribosomal RNA (bases 1-120)
Source: RNAcentral